This 2519-nucleotide long non-coding RNA is filed under the name Arabidopsis thaliana (thale cress). RNAcentral describes it as "ncRNA (AT1G60505)". The record is from RNAcentral. Lineage: Eukaryota; Viridiplantae; Streptophyta; Magnoliopsida; Brassicales; Brassicaceae.
CAAAAUAUGAAAAACAUAAACGAGAAAAUCCGAAAGUUCAAAGAAAAACACAAAAGGCCCAACUCCAAAAAAGAAACCCAUCAAAAGCCCAAAAAUACCUGACCCGAACUAACCGAAGCAAAUCAAUCCAUAAACCCGACAUCACGAGAGAAACCAACGAUCAACGAUCUCCGUACCCAGAACUCUGAUCGACAAUGGCCGCCACUGCAUCCUUGGACUCCUUCGGAAGCUUGAUACUGUUCUUCAGCUUCUCUCUCUUGCUCGCCACCGACGGCGACUCCUCUAGCAUCCUCUGAAGACCUCCGCCAGCUCUUGGAUCCACCAUCUCCGCCACAAUCUCCUUCUGAAACUAAUAAUUCACGAGAUUCUUCACUGACAGCUGAAGAUACAGAGCAAGACUGUCCACAAUCCUUCGUAAGACUAUCGUCCAGUAAGAUGCUAUCCUCAUCUUCAUAUCGAAGGCUUGCUGCAGGAGAUGAGCAUGAUACUUCCGUAGGUGAGAGAUCUUCACAAUUCCACCAAAUCCAGUCAACGAGAAGUGCUCAGGCUUUUUCCCAUCGGACAACACAGCAUAAAUGAAGUUUUGUUGUUCAGCAGUCAUCUGAGUCCAAGACGUCAUGUACUCAGGGUUACAUGUGUAAUCAGUCAGCUUCUCCAUUUCAACAAUCUCCAACACUCGCUCCACAGAGUGUUCCUUGAUCUUGGUGAUUAGAUUUCGACCAGCACGUUUGAUGGCAGAUUGGAUCUGUGGGAAGUUUUCAGAAUACUUGGCAAUGACGGAUGAGAGAACAACUUCAAUGUAGUCCCAUAUCUUCUUGAUGAACUCCACGGGCUUGACAUGUAUGGCAUCUUCGUGUUGUGAUAGUAUAGCCAAGAAGGCUGACCUGGGGAUGAAAUUGGGCAGUCCAACACACUUGCAUUCGUCAAGGAUCUUGAUCUCAUUCAUCAAGAACUCGGUCACUUCCUUUGGCUUCUCUUGCAGAUUAUCGGAGAAUUGGCUUAACAUGUCAGCCAAACGAGCAGUACAGUGCAUGUUCUGGUCAUCCGGGAAUUCAGAGAAGUCUCCUUGGACAAGGAUUCUGAAGAGGGACUCCUUGGCAGAACCAAUGAUGUCCAUCAAUGCCAUCAAUGCUUCUCCGGUAGAAGCCAUAACCAUCGGUAGCUUGUUCAACUCCAGGACAGCAGUUUCCAUCUUGUGAUUGAUCUUGCGAACGAUUUCAGGCAAACAGCGGGAAAUCAUCGUUGCUUGGAUAAGCAUUAGCUUCUGAGCUAUAACAGGGAUUCCCACGAUGUCUUCAUCAAUCAAGCUCAGCAUCGGGUGAGUCCUGAAGAGCAACUCUUCUUGCAUUCUAGCUUGUUCAUACGCUCUUCUCCAAUGCGGUUUCUGACACAGACGUAACCUAGACCAAUACUCACAUCAUCCGCAGUUACUUUCUGUAGGAGACCUUCGGGAGCCAUGUCUGCCUUGGUGACAACGGCCAGAGUCCGUUCACAUACGGAUGGAUUCACAGGUGGUGAAGUCGACUGUAGCUGACAGAACAUUGAGGAUUAUUGAUUCUUGUGGCUCGAUGUACUUCAUGAUCAUCCCAGAAAUCUGUUCGUAAAUAUUCUCCGGUUGUCCAUUCACUGGCCUCGAGUUAUACCGGGAAGAUCGACCAUGGUAAGAUAUGGGACCCCAGCCUUCUUAACAUGGAGGGUCAAUGGAGCGUCUGAGACCCCUUUGCCAGAUCCUGCAGUAUAGCACAGAUAGCUUCAGCGAUGUGCUCCUCAUCCGUGGGAACAAUCUUGUCACUGUACUCAAGCCAUAUCUCAGGUACAGGGCUAGAGCUUCGCUGAAGUCGCAUGACAAGAGGAACCCUAGUGCAGAUUCCUUGGCCACGAGGUAGACUGAUUCCUGCCAACGAGUCGAGGACACUUGACUUCCCCGAGGACUGGUCUCCAACCACGACAAUGGUGGGAAGCUGAAUGCCUUCUCUCAUCACAUUGAGGUUCCUUAGACGGUCAACCGUGUCAAGCAACGGCCUAAUCCUAUCGUUAUAUGAAGAUAUAAUCGGUGCUUCGAUGGGAACAACUUCUCUGUUGUCAUGAGGAUUCGCCUGGACAAUUGCAAGAGAAGGAGAAGAGGUUCUAGUGACAACAUGCUUCUUACUACCUCCCAUUUGUGUUCUUUUAGAGAUAAGACAAGAGUAGAAGAUAUAAAAGACAGAAAAGAGAAGUUCUAUGGGUAAGUGAGAUUCUUCUUAGAGAUAUGCAAAGAUAUAUAUAGAGAUAUUAGAAGGGCUUUGUGUAUACGAAGAAUUUACGAAGCAAGUAAAUUGCAUGAAAGGAUGCAAGUAGCGUGCAUGUUGGAAUUGAAAAAAGCUAAUUAAGUCAGUAAUUGCACCUAUAUCUAGCUCGUAGUUGAAACUAAAACGUCUCUCUUAAGAUGUGUAUUUGAAUAUUUUAUUGGUUCCAAUUGGCUGAAUUCUUUUGUGGUGAAGUUUGGAAUUUUGACUAAAGGCGUAACUUGAUAAUUUUCG